GGAAUGUAAAUGUUACUCAACUCAACGCUGAGUUAAAUAUUACAUUUCCUUGUUUACAUAAACUUGAAAGUUAAGAAAAUGAAACGCUCACAUGAGUUUAAUGUUGUCUACCCCAAACAUAAAAAUAUACAAUAUACAACAAAACCCAACAAAAAAACUCUAUCACUAAGCCUCCGCUUCAACCCUGUUAAUCCUCACCUGCAGGUCUAACCCCUACACCAAGAAUUGGUGCACCGGGUUGUAAACAAUAAACCCGGUAAGUUAAAAAGCUCGAAUGAGUAAUUCUCAAAAUAACACUAAAUCUCCGAUUACCAAUUAAAUCACAUGAGCAAUUUAUAUCAAUAAAUAAAAUCCACAAAUCCAACACUUUUUCAAUUAACAUGUACCAAUGAGUCCCAGGUAUUAAUAAAUACCCCUCAUGACCUACAACAACAAAAUGUGUACCUAUGGGUCCCAGAUACCAUACAGUAUCUCCCAUGACCUAUAUUGAUAGACGGACUAGAACUCUAUUCCUAACCGCAACCAAUCACCCGGCCAAAGGCUUGGAACCCGGUUUGACUGUCUAAUAUCAAACACAAAAGUGAUAAAUAGCAUCUUAACCGCAACCAAUCACCCAAUUAAAGGCUUGAAACCCGGUUUGGCUAUUUAUCCAACAAUCAUAAUAUCACAACAUUAUUCUCAACAACACAAUAUCACAUCAUAAAUUAUAUCUUUCCACAUGGAUAUAUUUACAUGAACAAAAUAUAGAUAUUCCACAAGAAUAAUCUAUCAAUAAUCAAUAAAAUUAUGAUCACAUGAAUCUCAAAAUAGCAUUUAAAGAAAACUUGUUUUAUCUUACCUAUGAGUCGUUGACGAUCAAGCUCAUAUAUUUAAAAAAAAACCAUUAAAAACAUAUUAUCACAAUACCCUUAAACUAAUUAACCCUUAGUUCAAGGGAGGACAACUUUCCAAAGUCGUUGAACUUAGAGGCCGAAAAUGGCUGCCUCUAAUCCUCUAAUCCUUAAAUCCUUACUCAACCUCCACUAAGCCUAAUAUCACACCCAAAGUUCUAACACGCAAACCUUGCUCACAACCUAGGAAUUCUACAUCUUAACAAGCUCACAACAACAAGAGCUAGCUAAAACACAGCAACCUAAGCCAUAAACAUAGUCGAACGCGCUGCCACGCGCCGCCACAGGCGGCGGCGAGUUGGCCCCACGCGCCAAAAACUUUCGAAUUUGAGAAAACUCUCAACAGCAAAGUUGAAGCUUGAAGCAAAGGGAACAACUUUCAUACCUGAGGCUUCAACCAAUUUUGGCCGGAACCGGCCGGAAAAUGCCACGAAACCCUAACCCGGAAUCAAACUUCAAACUUGCAAAUCCGGGCUCAAAAACCUCAAAACUUGAUUCAAUCUAUGCCUAGACACUACCAGGAGGAGGAGAGGAUCAAGACUCACCUAAGGAUGCCCCUCGUCGCCGCCGGAAACGGCGAGUCCGACCGGAGACACAGCAGCCCUCUUUCCAGCAAUAAGGCUCCGAUUCCGGCGUGCCACACCGAGCAGCAGCUGCCCAGUCUUGAAGAGAGCACUUGUGGGAGUCAAAUGGGACCAGUGGCGGUCCAAUUGGUGGCUGGACGGCGGAGCUAGCUCCGGCGGAAGUUUGGUGUGCGGGUGAGUUCGGGAGAGGAAGAGAGAGAAAAGAGAGAAGAGAGUGAACUGGGUGAGGAGAGUGAGAAGAGAGAGAGCUGAUUUGUGUUAGGGUUUCCAAAAUAACCCACACACAAUUUUCUACUUAAACACUUUCCACACCCGGAAACUAACUUCCUCUGACCAUAACUUUCUCAUACGACAUCCGUUUUAAGCGUACCGUAUGUCUACGAACUCGUAUCGACAAACUCUACAACUUUCAAGAAGGAAGUUUUCGAAAAUAACUUACGGAAAAUAAAGUCAACUUUUGGCCUCUUAAAAGUCAAAACACCUUAAAAUAAACUCCUGAAACUUCAACUUCGCAUAAACCAAAGAAUUUCCAUAAAUAAUCCUUCAUUAAUUAAGGAAAUAAUACAAGAAAAAAUGAUAUGAAAAUCUAGGGUAUUACAAGCAAUAUCGCCAAGGAGAAAGAAGAACAUAACCUCGACAUCGCUUAACCCGAGUUCCUAUCUCUUCCAUUGUGUCUUCCAUGCUAUCUUUAUUUCUAGUCAUGUUUUCUUUGGCUAUGGAUUUCUAAACUUCUAGCUAGGGCUGAGAUAAAGCCCCCAGUAUGAUUACUCUAUUUUUUUAGUUGAUUUCUUUUGAAUUCAUGGAUUUCUAUGUUAAAUUCUCAAUCACUGUUUCAAUUGAACUUUUAUUCAAAAUCUUUGCUCAGGACCAAUAAGACCUAGGUUUUGUUUAUUAGUUAUUUGGCUAGAAAACAUGAGACUUGAUCGAGAGUAGAUGUUUUCUAGGGUUUCAAAGGAUUUAUUUAAUCUUGUGAUUAGAGAGUUGUAAGUUAAGGAUACAAGUGUUUGAUCAUAGUCGAUAUUCUUGUUUACAUGAUCUCCUAGUUCUUUUGUGUUUAAUGGAGUUGAACAUGUGUCAGGACCCACCCCGGAUUUCACCCUGAAAUCCGGAAUGAACACUGCGGGGAUCAACUCCAAAGAAGAUGCUACCGGAAAUUCAGCAUAACAUCCCUUGAAAAUAGACAACUCUUCCUAAAAACACCUGCAAACACACUUAUAAAAAAAUCAUACUCCAACCUUGUACUCCUGGAGCCUUCCUGCUCCCCAAGUUCAUCACAUCUCCCAAAAUAUCAAAUACUAAUCUAAAAGAAUCUCACUUCUAACAACAAAGACAUUUAAUAAUUUAUUAACUCGAUUAUCAUAACAUAUAUAAUAAUGAAAGAAAAAUAAUGAAUAAAGAAUAAGCGGAAACAGCCUCUGACUAUGCCUCGACUCUAUGUACGCUCGACCUCAAAUAAACUUAGUCUGCAAACUGGGCAUUUGAAACCGAAGAACCCAGAGGAAAGUAAUUUAAAACGUUAGAGUGAGUGGACAAAAAUAAAUUGAAUAAUUUAACAUAAAUGUAAUUUAAAUACUUUCCCACGUUUAAACUUUAAAAACUUAGAUGCACGCAACUUUAAUCAUCCAAAAAAACUUUAAAUCCAGAGUCACGAAAGAAUGAACAAACCAGCAAUACUGAAAUUUUGUAAGAAGAGACAAACCAGCCCCGUUGGUUAAUCAAUUACAUAAAUGAGAAAAUAAAACAAGGGGAAGAAAUAUAUCACCAUGUAAGAGGAGCUUCUUAGACUCGGGUCGGAACCUCCCAGACUCUAGUAGCGUCCCACGCUAAGCGCUCGACUCACCUAUGGUGAGGACCGUUAAUAAAGGCUAGCUAGCAAUGAACAAUAACCGAUUAGUGUCUCCCAGGCUAUAAUAGCGUCUCACGCUAAGCGCUCAACUCACCUAUGAUGAGGACCGCAUGCUAGCUAGUAAUGAAUAAGAGCUAGUAUGGUGACUAAAAACAUACGAAAUCACUAUUCAUAAAGCUUCCCUAAGAUCAUGUGAAUAGUACGGUUCUCAACCGUACUUAGAAAUUAUCAUCAGAAAUUAAAAUAAAACUCAAUGACGUGUCUCACGUCAAAAUAUUCUCAAAUUUAUAAUUAUAAGCGAGAUUUCAUUAUAAAUCAUAAAUAAUAUCUCCACCUGAAAUACUCACUAAACAAUUCUCAAUGUCAAGAUCAUUAUGCGACAAAUAAACGAGAAAAUUAUGAUGGAGAACUACCAGAAGUCCCAUUUUCGGUAUUCUUUUAUAAAUCUCAAAGUCAACAAAUAAAACAAUAAGAAUUAAAUCCGGAAUUGAUAAAGAAUAUCAAAACUCAAAUACCAAAUUAAUAACCCGACCUCAAAUCCAUAAAUCAUGACAAACUCUUAAUCAAUGCAUCAAACUCAAAUAAAUUUCAAGACCAUAUCAUAAACCGAAAUUUAUAAUAUAAGCUCGGAAAAUAGAAUGAUAAUUUCCAAAAUAAACCAUGCAUGCUUAUUCAUUUAAAAACAAAGUGUCCACUCACCGUAUUAGGCAUAAGCUUUCCAUUGCUCAUGACACUCCUCGCGCGCUGCCUCCAAAUAUCCAAGUCCUUGAGUCAAUCCCACACCUGACCAUAAGCUGUAGGACAAAUCGGUCAAACCGAACUUUGAAAUAACCAUUGCCUCGUCUUCUUUCCUAGUUUGACUCGGGUUUCCUAGGUUGACCAGGAUUUACCAAUUAACGAUGUUCAACGUUUUCCAAUCCAACCUUUGACUUAACAAUUCGAUACAAUUUUCACUAUACGUCCUACUAACAGUUAGGCACUUAGGCGUCGCUUAAUAAUUCGUUUUGGUGAACCUCGAUUUUGAUUAAUCAAACUAAUGUAAUUUGAUUAACUCAAAAACAUACGAACCACCUUAAUCUGAAAAACCACCAAAUUACUAAGGGCACCCAAAAGGGUUUGCAUAACCGAAAAGUUUUCAAAAAUGGAAAGUUUCUUAAAAUAGAAACUUUCAUAACUUGGUAAUUUUUCCAAUUACAACCCGAACUUUCCUAUUUCCGAAGUGACAUAAAACAAAAACAAAACAUCGAUCACUACCUCUACCAAAAUAUUUUGCCGGAAUUUCACGAUAGUCUCCCUGUAUCUUCCAAUCU
Molecule: long non-coding RNA, 4630 nt
Filed under: Fragaria vesca (wild strawberry)
Lineage: Eukaryota; Viridiplantae; Streptophyta; Magnoliopsida; Rosales; Rosaceae
Description: long non-coding RNA (FVES_LNC005466)
Source: RNAcentral